Molecule: ribosomal RNA, 301 nt
Filed under: uncultured bacterium
Lineage: Bacteria
Description: partial 16S ribosomal RNA
Rfam family: Bacterial small subunit ribosomal RNA
Source: RNAcentral
CAGCAGCCGCGGUAAUACGAAGGGGGCUAGCGUUGUUCGGAAUUACUGGGCGUAAAGCGCACGUAGGCGGAUAUUUAAGUCAGGGGUGAAAUCCCGCAGCUCAACUGCGGAACUGCCUUUGAUACUGGGUAUCUUGAGUAUGGAAGAGGUUAGUGGAAUUGCGAGUGUAGAGGUGAAAUUCGUAGAUAUUCGCAGGAACACCAGUGGCGAAGGCGGCUAACUGGUCCACAACUGACGCUGAGGUGCGAAAGCGUGGGGAGCAAACAGGAUUAGAUACCCCGGUAGUCCCUGUCUCUUAUAC